CGCCGAAGCGGCGCGGAACGGAGGCCGCUUCCUUUCGGCACCCAUGUUAACCUAUGGUGUCGUUCACACCAGACGCGGAGACGCACCGCGAGCGAUCCGCGUGAAUUCCGGCAGGAAGUCACACCAAGAAACACGAGACAAUCUGGUCAAUUGUCAAAAUAUAAGCAAUUUUCAAAUUAAAAUACCGCGAGUGACAAAUGCGAUCAUAUUUGUGUAUCUAAACAGACUAGAAAGAUGAAAAAAAAAAACACAA
Molecule: long non-coding RNA, 253 nt
Organism: Carassius carassius (crucian carp)
Lineage: Eukaryota; Metazoa; Chordata; Actinopteri; Cypriniformes; Cyprinidae
Exons: 2
Source: RefSeq, a predicted model, not a curated record